AGCCGAUCAUUUUCUACAUGGGUUGAUUUAAAGAGUACUUUUGUAUAGUUAGAUUUUAGGAACUUAAUUUCUGGUAUCACACAGUUUAAAUGAGUAAUAUAUUAGGAAUAGCUUCCUGAAAUAUGCAAAGGAGCACAAUUAAAAGGAGAAGAAUGUUCCUUUAGGUUGGAUUACUUACAGCAUUUAUGGAAUACCUCCAGUGGCAAUCUUUCAAGCCUUUUGGAGAGGCCCAGCGGCAAGAACUGGAGCCCCCUGCCUACAGCCACUUUACCGAGAACUUCAAAGCAGAUUCUCCAAGAUCUCCAUGACUUCAGCUUCAGCCAAUGACUUCAUUGUAGCCUGAUUAGAGACUCUGAAUCAGAACCAUCCAGGUAACCUCUACACACAACAUGGAGCUUAAACACAACCCUGAGAUCCAAGAGCUGUGUGCUUUAUCGAUUGAGCCAGCCAGGUGCCCAACAUGGACAAUUUUUUGCUUGGACAUACUCUCAUUUUUCUUGGCUAUGUACCCAGAAGUAGAAUUUAUAUGAUUCUAAAUGAUCAAAAUCAUGGUCCAACAAUGUAAUUAUACUGUAUUCCCAAAGAUAUUAUGUAAAAAUGCUAUCCUCUUAAAAGUAUUCUGCAGAAAAAUGUUGGCCAUGCAGAAGGAAAACUACAUAAUAAUAUGGAAAAAGACUACAUGAAGUGAAAAGAGGACAAAACCCACUUAAAAUCCUUCCUGGGCUUCCCAUUCCCUGCUCUGUCCUAUGGACCUAGGGACCUCAGUUCUCUCCCUGUCAGUUCUCAGGACCAGCUAUGUAUACUACCUAUCAGAGAUUUUUACAUCUCAGCUUCAGGACUUUUGUUCAUGUUGUUUCCUCUGCCUGUAUCACUUUUUCCCCACUUCUUUGCCCAAUGGUUUCAAGUCUCAUCUUAAAUGUCACUUCCUCAGAGAAACCUUCUCUGUUAUCCCUGCUUAGUCUAAGAUUAAGUGUUUCCAUCGCAGUCUGCAAUUUUCCAUCUUAAAUACUUUUGAUACUGGUAAUACUUUAUUCAGUCAGUAAUCAAAUACUGAGAAGUAUUACAUGCAGGGAUACAGAGUGAAACAAAACACACAAGAUCUGCCAUCCUAGACCUUGUAUUCUAGGAAGGGUAUCCAUGCACAUAUAUACAAAUCAAUGUACUGGGUAAUUUUAUUUCAUUUUAUUCCAGUGUAGUUAACAUGCAGUGUUAUAGUAGUUUUUGGUGUGCAAUACAGUGAUUCAACAGUUCCAUGCAUUAUUCAGUGUUCAUCAGUUAAGUAUAAUAUUAAUCUUUUUCACUUAUUUCACCCAUCCCCCCCCACCCAUCUGAUAACCAUAUAUUCCCUAUAGUUGAGGAAUCUCAACUCUAUAGUUGAGUUGUUUUUUUUUUUAUUUCCCUUCGUUGGCUAUUUUCUGUCUUAAAUUCCACAAUGCGUGAUAUUGAUGGGGGAACACAGGGCUAGUUGAGGACAAGGCACGAGCUUAGGGCAGCACACUGACUAGUCUUUGAAAGAGGCAAAGGGACAUUCCUCUACGGACUCAACUGCCUCGAUGUUCAUACUUUGCUAAGGGCAAAAGGCAAUCUUAGCCUGACUCUCAGGAACCUGUAAGUCUACUUUAACACAUAAAAAUUCCUUUAGAA
Canis lupus familiaris (dog) is the source of this 1644-nucleotide long non-coding RNA. RefSeq lists it as uncharacterized. The transcript is spliced from 3 exons. The record is from RefSeq and is a predicted model, not a curated record. NCBI's taxonomy places the organism in Eukaryota, Metazoa, Chordata, Mammalia, Carnivora, Canidae.